This 1344-nucleotide long non-coding RNA is filed under the name Betta splendens (Siamese fighting fish). Its description in RNAcentral is "lncRNA (ENSBSLG00000012183.1)". Lineage: Eukaryota; Metazoa; Chordata; Actinopteri; Anabantiformes; Osphronemidae. The record is from RNAcentral.
AUGCGACCCCCUCCUGGAGGUCGGCAGGAAACUACGACGGGAGCGACCCCCUCCUGGAGGUCGGCAGGAAACUACGACGGGAGCGACCCCCUCCUGGAGGUCGGCAGGAACUACGACGGGAGCGACCCCCUCCUGGAGGUCGGCAGGAACUACGGGCGGGAAGGCGACCCCCUCCUGGAGGUCGGCAGGAACUACGACGGGAGCGACCCCCUCCUGGAGGUCGGCAGGAACUACGGCGGGAGCGACCCCCUCCUGGAGGUCGGCAGGAACUACGGCGGGAGCGACCCCCUCCUGGAGGUCGGCAAGAACUACGACGGGAGCGACCCCCUCCUGGAGGUCGGCAAGAACUACGACGGGCGCGACCCCCUCCUGGGGGUCUGCCGGGACUGCGGCGGGCGCGACCCCCUCCUGGGGGUCCGCCGGGACUGCGGCUGGCGCGACCUCCUCCUGGAGGUGCGCCGGGACUGCGGCUGGCGCGACCUCCUCCUGGAGGUGCGCAGGAACUGCGGCUGGCGCAACCUCCUCCUGGAGGUGCGCAGGAACUGCGGCUGGCGCAACCUCCUCCUGGAGGUGCGCAGGAACUGCGGCUGGCGCAACCUCCUCCUGGAGGUGCGCAGGAACUGCGGCUGGCGCAACCUCCUCCUGGAGGUGCGCAGGAACUGCGGCUGGCGCAACCUCCUCCUGGAGGUGCGCAGGAACUGCGACUGGCGCAACCUCCUCCUGGAGGUGCGCAGGAACUGCGACUGGCGCAACCUCCUCCUGGAGGUGCGCAGGAACUGCGACUGGCGCGACCUCCUCCUGGAGGUGCCGCAGGAAACUGCGACUGGCGCGACCCUCCUCCUGGAGGUGCGCAGGAACUGCGGGACUGGCGCGACCUCCUCCUGGAGGUGCGCAGGAACUGCGACUGGCGCGACCUCCUCCUGGAGGUGCGCAGGAACUGCGGCUAGCGCGACCUCUCCUGGAGGUGCGCAGGAACCGCGGCUAGCGCGACCUCCUCCUGGAGGUGCGCAGGAACUGCGGCUGGCGCGACCUCCUCCUGGAGGUGCGCAGGAACUGCGGCUAGCGCGACCUCCUCCUGGAGGUGCGCAGGAACUGCGGCUAGCGCGACCUCCUCCUGGAGGUGCGCAGGAACUGCGGCUAGCGCGACCUCCUCCUGGAGGUGCGCAGGAACUGCGGCUAGCGCGACCUCCUCCUGGAGGUGCGCAGGAACUGCGACUGGCGCGACCUCCUCCUGGAGGUGCGCAGGAACUGCGACUGGCGCGACCUCCUCCUGGAGGUGCGCAGGAACUACGGCUAGCGCGACCUCCUCCUGGGGACCGGCGGGCGCUGCGGCUCCACGGGUGA